RNAcentral lists this ribosomal RNA (534 nucleotides) under Triticum aestivum (bread wheat). RNAcentral describes it as "partial small subunit ribosomal RNA". The record is from RNAcentral. Lineage: Eukaryota; Viridiplantae; Streptophyta; Magnoliopsida; Poales; Poaceae.
AUGCAUGACACUCUCCCUGUCCCCCAAGCAAGAGAAUUGAACGGAGUAGAGGUUUUCCUCCAAAGGCCUGAACUUUGCCUGCUGCGCUAUGUCCCAUGCCGAUCUCAUGUUUUUGAAGAACCAUGUCUGGCUAUAGGUCUUACUAGCAAAAGAGCCCGUGCGUUGCAACGGGGUAACAAAAUUGUGUUUCGCCACUUAUCACAAUUGCUCCAUCUCACCAUUGUCAUCAACCUAUUCAUCUUUCUGCCCUUUUGCAAGUUUUCUUCCGUCCUUCUGCAAGUUUUAUUAUGUACACGGCCUUGUGGUUUCCAUCAUCAUACUGAGCAAAGGCCAGUUAGAAAAGAGAGGUGGAGGUCAAGGCCUACUCUGAGUGCCAUCUUAAUAACUGCAACCUUGAUCUGUUUUACUUUCCUUGUCAGCAAAAUUAAUGAUUUUUAUUUGCUUGUAUGUGUGUUAUAUAACCAAAUGCUCCUUGUGGAGCUAGUGUCCACAUCCCUUGAUGGUAAUCAUUAUAGCUGCAAUAGAAGGCUGUGA